UCCUGCGGGAACGCAGAACGCCGCCGCCGGUCACGCAGUGGCCCUCGUGCUGCUGACACGCGGGGCCCCUCCUUCCCUCCGCGCGACACCUGCCGCGGGCGUCUUACCCGAGUUCUCGCUCUUGAAGUAGAUCAAGCGGGGGGGCUCGCAGCUGAGCAGAUUGAGGGUGCCCUCGGAGUUGAGCGGCCUUAUCUGCGUCGGAAAGCAGAGAGGGGCGGUAGCCGCGGGCGCCGCCCGGGAGGACACCGGCCCCGCCCCGCCCCGCCCCGCCCCGCGGCCUUACCCUGCGCAGGCCGAUGGUCUGCACCCACUCCAUGGUGCGCACGUCGAACACGUCCACGCCGUACUCGCUGUACACCGUGACGUGGGAGGGGCUGCAACCUAGCGCAGACGAGCGGGGCGGCGUGAGCGGGCGCGGGCCCCCGCGCCCUCCGCCGCCCCCGCGGCCCCCCACGGGCAGCGGCCGGGCCCCGACCCCCGCGACCUUCGGGGAGCGCCGAGGAGGCCCCGCCGCCGUGAGCGGCGGGCUCACGGCCGGUGGGGCUUAGGAGCGUUCCCGGUCCCGCUCUAGAACCGUCCUUCCCUUCGGACUCGCGCGAACUCAACCGGAUGUUUCAACGCUCUACCGUCACGUGUGUAACCGCACGGCUUUUUGCCACAGCACAGAGGCUGCAGGGGAUUUGCUCACAAAGCUGGCUUUCGUACUUAGCUUUCUGUACGGUUAUUGCAAACACAGGGACUUGAGGCCCAACGCGGCUGCUAUUUGGGGAGGGGCGGAGCGCUCUCUUUUCUGAGGCAAGUUCUGUUAAGAGACACCGAGGAGUCCGGUUUCCGAGUAAGCGUUUAAGGUCUCCAAACAGAACUGCUUCGCUCCGGGGCGACAGCCCCGCGCCCCCACGCACCCGGCUGACCCACCGGCCCUUCCGGGGAGGUCGGCACACGCCUGGCCGUGAGGACCCGCCUGCCGUGAACCCCGGAGGGGGCUCCUUCCCUAAGGGACAGGGACGCCCCGGGGGGUCGUCCUGGUGACGGCAAGCCCGCCUAGGGCACCGAACAUCACACACCGGUAAGCGUUGGCCCAGCUGGCGUUCGAAGCGGAGGGGACGUUCCCCACACUUAGAACUGUCGCGAAGAGAGAGGGAGCCGCGGCCGGGCUGCCAGGGACGGCGGGGCAGGCGGGAGGUACCCUGUCGUCACUCUGCCUCCCCCGAGUCCCCAGUUGCCACCCUGCAGAAAUGCACGGCUCGGUCUCUGUUCCCGGUCCCUCUGCCUUCCGGGGUGGAGUUGAACUCCCUCGUGUCACGCGACACUUGCCGAAGCUGAAUUUUUAAAAGAGCUCUGCCAAUUCCCAACGGGCUACGUGGUCGGCCCUUCUCUUUCCAAUGCAAAAAGGAAACCAGAAACAGGGUUUAGGAAGCAGGCAAGACGCUGGGACUCGCCGCCAGACCGUCUCAGAGGGGACAGGCCAGCAGACUUUGAGGUAGUGGCCACUGAGUCCCAGGAAGGAAAGCUGCGGCGGCACACUGCACCCGUGAAGGGCGACGUGGCGGCUCCCAGCGUCAGGCACGUCGUGACCGGAGUCACAGACACACACAGCGGCUGAGGUGCAGGACGGAAGUCAGUGCCAGUGAGGUGGGGGAGACGGGGCCUAGGAAGGAGGGACCCCAACACGAGGGAAGGAAUCAGGGGGGCAGGAGGUAGAGGAAGAGGAGGUCCACCCUGGACCGGCUAGCCCCUUGCUACGGCACAUCGAAAUGCUCCGAAAAAGAACCGUUAUUUUAACCAUGGGAGUUCUUUCUUAUGAUUAGUAAAACAUCUCUAAGAAACAAAAAAAAAGCAUACCCUGAAUAUACACGGGACAUCUCGGCGAGAAGCAUGUAUGACAUCUGAGGCCAGGACCGAGCUCACCGAGAACUCCUCGUCCCUGGUAAGAAACAGAACACUCGGGAUAUCAGAAAGAAACGUGCACGUGGGCCGGUCCUCCGCCCCACUUAUGGGAAAGGAUACAGAAGGAGGCGGGCCCCUUGCCUCCACCUGGGUAAGAGAGCACGCUGACAAAGCCAACAGAUGACUCAAGGACCCUGCACGCGUUUCAGUGGUUAGGGACGUGGGAGAACAGAAGCUCCUUCCCUGGGUCACACCGUUCUCAUCUGUGUCAGACGCCUCCGGUCACAGACACGUCACCGAACUGGCCCCUACUUGGCUACGAUCAGGUGGCCGCUUGGUGAUGGCCCCUAAGGAAGGGGGUGCAAUGUGCCAAAGUGCGGGAGGGCCCGUGUCCGAUACCCUCCGAGUCCUGGGCUCCACACCUAACACCAAGUCCCCGUGCCGCCUGCCAGCCAGCGGCCUCUUCGUCACGAGGCUGGGGCCCAUCCGAGCCCAGUGACGGAUGUGCAGUGGGGGCCGCCACGGAGGUGACCCCGCUACGCUUCUGUCCCUGAGGCCGUCGUCAGGGCGCCUGCCGCAGCCCGCCGUCCCCAAGAACAGCUGGGGACAGAGGUGCCGGGCCCUAGCCCAGGGUGGGUGCCAACGGGCGGAGGGGACUCCGGGCCCUGGGCUGAGCGCGUCCCUUGUGCUGACUCCGCCCCGCCGGCCUCCCAGGUCUGAUGCCAGGAGGGCCCGUGAUGAGAUGAGGUGUAGGAGAGGGUGUCGUGCAGCAAAGCCCAGGGCUCUAGAUCGCUGUCACAAAGGGUACUCUCGGGUUCUGACACCUUAGGCUGCACAGUGUGUCCCUGGGGUAUGUUCUCCCUGCUCUUGGGACGUGUCAUUUUCUUAUGUUUUACAAACGCCUACCUGGCAAACCGUAGUGUGCAAAAAUACCCAGGCUGCUACAGCACGCACUCUACGUGCGUACAAUGUGCACGGAUGCGAAGGUGUGACGGGGUUAAAGAUCACCAAGCAGCACAGUAAGUCGGAACUCACACGAUAGGACAGACCACACAGGACACGCACCUGAGGUCCAGGACCUGGCUGGCGACAACGCCAGGCUGGGUGGAUUUUCCUUCAGGCAGGUCGUAGAGGAAGAGCUUGCAGUCACAGACCACCGCGUAAGCCCGCUGCCACCCCUUCUUCACCCCGGUAGGCUUUGGGACCUACAGGGAACAGUGGCCACAUUCCAGUCCACGCAGCGGAGGCCGCGGCCCCGGGAGACGUCCCGCCCGUGGUUUCCUUCCAGCUGCCGAACGGCUGGCCCGCUCCUCCGGGGACAGCCCCCUCGCGCCCUUCCCAGGCUGGUGCCAGGGCCGGGUCCGGGCCCGGGCAGACUCAGGCACUACUGGGGAGGGAUCCACACGUGAUACAAGGUGAUGCACGGGCCAAGGCGGACGAGUCAGCAGACAGGCGUGUUCGCAGCACACACAGCUGCGAGGCUGCGGCCGGAGGCUGUCCGGACACAGUGGUUUUCAGGCGGCACUUGGCCACGGAGCCCUGCCUUUAAAUGCACGGCCCAGAAGGCGGGGACAAGGGGCUCUGGCAGACGGAGAUGUUUCUGUGGGGUCCUCGGAACCCGGGCCCCAGUGCCUUAGUGCCCAGGAAGGGAGGCCUCCCAGGAGCAGCGCGAAAGUCACUUCACAAAGCAACCAAGGACAGCCCUCGGGAGCAGUGGGGUGUGGCUCUCGUGUCAUGGCGCCCGAGGCCAGGAGAGCUGAGGCGGCGGAACCCCGGUCUCCGCGCGUCCUACCUUGACGUAGCCCUUGUAGGCCGUCCCUAUGCCUCUCUGCACGUCCACGCCGAGCGGCCGCUUGGACUGCUCAGGAGGGAUGGGGCACACCUGGGGAGCGCUGUCUCUGCAGGCCACGUGGCAAGCGAAGGAGCACACUGGAAAAGUGCAGGGGUGGGGGGGGGGGCACGGCCGUCAGAGCCCGCCUCCUCCGGGGCAGGACAAGGCUCAGUAAUCACCUCCCCGAGUCGCAGGAAGGGUCCAGACACCCAGUGCAGCCAGCACAUUCUGGAACACAGG
Felis catus (domestic cat) is the source of this 3958-nucleotide long non-coding RNA. RefSeq lists it as uncharacterized. The transcript is spliced from 2 exons. The record is from RefSeq and is a predicted model, not a curated record. NCBI's taxonomy places the organism in Eukaryota, Metazoa, Chordata, Mammalia, Carnivora, Felidae.